Molecule: ribosomal RNA, 583 nt
Filed under: Rhodotorula mucilaginosa
Lineage: Eukaryota; Fungi; Basidiomycota; Microbotryomycetes; Sporidiobolales; Sporidiobolaceae
Description: eukaryotic LSU rRNA
Rfam family: Eukaryotic large subunit ribosomal RNA
Source: RNAcentral
AAACUAACAAGGAUUCCCCUAGUAGCGGCGAGCGAAGCGGGAAGAGCUCAAAUUUAUAAUCUGGCACCUUCGGUGUCCGAGUUGUAAUCUCUAGAAAUGUUUUCCGCGUUGGACCGCACACAAGUCUGUUGGAAUACAGCGGCAUAGUGGUGAGACCCCCGUAUAUGGUGCGGACGCCCAGCGCUUUGUGAUACAUUUUCGAAGAGUCGAGUUGUUUGGGAAUGCAGCUCAAAUUGGGUGGUAAAUUCCAUCUAAAGCUAAAUAUUGGCGAGAGACCGAUAGCGAACAAGUACCGUGAGGGAAAGAUGAAAAGCACUUUGGAAAGAGAGUUAACAGUACGUGAAAUUGUUGGAAGGGAAACGCUUGAAGUCAGACUUGCUUGCCGAGCAAUCGGUUUGCAGGCCAGCAUCAGUUUUCCGGGAUGGAUAAUGGUAGAGAGAAGGUAGCAGUUUCGGCUGUGUUAUAGCUCUCUGCUGGAUACAUCUUGGGGGACUGAGGAACGCAGUGUGCCUUUGGCGGGGGUUUCGACCUCUUCACACUUAGGAUGCUGGUGGAAUGGCUUUAAACGACCCGUCUUGAAACA